GAUGAACGCUGGCUACAGGCUUAACACAUGCCAGUCGAGGGGAAACGACGGGGAAGCUUGCUUCCCCGGGCGUCGACCGGCGCACGGGUGAGUAACGCGUAUCCAACCUGCCUCUGACUGAGGGAUAACCCGUCGAAAGUCGGCCUAAUACCUCAUGGCAUCGUCUGCGGGCAUCCAACGACGAUUAAAGAUUUCAUCGGUCAGGGAUGGGGAUGCGUCUGAUUAGCUUGUUGGCGGGGUAACGGCCCACCAAGGCUACGAUCAGUGGGGGUUCUGAGAGGAAGGUCCCCCACAUUGGAACUGAGACACGGUCCAAACUCCUACGGGAGGCAGCAGUGAGGAAGAUUGGUCAAUGGGCGGGAGCCUGAACCAGCCAAGUAGCGUGCAGGAUGACGGCCCUAUGGGUUGUAAACUGCUUUUAGGCGGGGAUAAAGUGAGGGACGUGUCCUUCAUUGCAGGUACCGCAUGAAUAAGGACCGGCUAAUUCCGUG
This 491-nucleotide ribosomal RNA is filed under the name uncultured bacterium. Its description in RNAcentral is "partial 16S ribosomal RNA". It matches the Rfam family "Bacterial small subunit ribosomal RNA", at positions 28 to 507 of the family's 1533-position model. The record is from RNAcentral.